Molecule: ribosomal RNA, 253 nt
Filed under: uncultured bacterium
Lineage: Bacteria
Description: partial 16S ribosomal RNA
Rfam family: Bacterial small subunit ribosomal RNA
Source: RNAcentral
UACAGAGGUCUCAACCGUUGAUCGGAUUCAUUGGGCGUAAAGGGUGCGUAGGCGGUCGCGUAAGUCAGGUGUGAAAUCUCAGGGCUCAACCCUGAAACUGCACUUGAUACUGCGUGGCUCGGGUACUGGAGAGGAGACUGGAAUUUACGGUGUAGCAGUGAAAUGCGUAGAUAUCGUGAGGAACACCAGAGGCGAAGGCGGUUACCUGGACAGUUACUGACGCUCAGGCACGAAAGCAUGGGGAGCAAAAGGG